UAGGGAAUCUUCGGCAAUGGACGAAAGUCUGACCGAGCAACGCCGCGUGAGUGAAGAAGGUUUUCGGAUCGUAAAACUCUGUUGUUAGAGAAGAACAAGGACGUUAGUAACUGAACGUCCCCUGACGGUAUCUAACCAGAAAGCCACGGCUAACUACGUGCCAGCAGCCGCGGUAAUACGUAGGUGGCAAGCGUUGUCCGGAUUUAUUGGGCGUAAAGCGAGCGCAGGCGGUUUCUUAAGUCUGAUGUGAAAGCCCCCGGCUCAACCGGGGAGGGUCAUUGGAAACUGGGGGACUGGAGGGCAGAAGAGGAGAGUGGAAUUCCAUGUGUAGCGGUGAAAUGCGUAGAUAUAUGGAGGAACACCAGUGGCGAAGGCGGCUCUCUGGUCUGUAACUGACGCUGAGGCUCGAAAGCGUGGGGAGCAAACAGG
This 429-nucleotide ribosomal RNA is filed under the name Gemmatimonadota bacterium. RNAcentral describes it as "Gemmatimonadetes bacterium partial 16S ribosomal RNA". It matches the Rfam family "Bacterial small subunit ribosomal RNA", at positions 355 to 776 of the family's 1533-position model. The record is from RNAcentral. Lineage: Bacteria; Pseudomonadati; Gemmatimonadota.